UGGAGGUAGUGACAAUAAAUCACAAUGCGGAACCUUUGGUUUUGCAAUUGGAUUGAGAAGAAGGUACAAAUCAUAUCGAUAAACAAUUGGAGGGCAAGUCUGGUGCCAGCAGCCGCGGUAAUUCCAGCUCCAAUAGCGUAUAUUAACGUUGUUGCAGUUAAAAAGCUCGUAGUUGAAGUUGGAUGAGUAUUUGAAUUCAAUUUUCGAAUUGGAUUGAAAUACUUAUCAUUUCUAGUAGUUAUGCUUGGGUAUUCAAUUACUUGAGUAUGAUAGCUAGUCAUUUACUGUGAGAAAAUUAGAGUGUUUAAAGCAGACGUUUGUUUGAAUAGAUUAGCAUGGAAUAAUAAUGAUAUGCUUGAUUUCAUGUAUUGGUCAUGAAAGAUAGCAAGAUUAAAAGGGACAGUUGGGGGUAUUCAUAUUCAAUAGUUAGAGGUGAAAUUCUCGGAUUUAUGGAAGAUGAACAAGUGCGAAAGCA
Molecule: ribosomal RNA, 475 nt
Filed under: Blastocystis sp. Ch-1
Lineage: Eukaryota; Bigyra; Opalinata; Blastocystidae
Description: SSU rRNA
Rfam family: Eukaryotic small subunit ribosomal RNA
Source: RNAcentral